RNAcentral lists this ribosomal RNA (433 nucleotides) under uncultured bacterium. Its description in RNAcentral is "partial 16S ribosomal RNA". It matches the Rfam family "Bacterial small subunit ribosomal RNA", at positions 29 to 507 of the family's 1533-position model. The record is from RNAcentral.
AGCGAACGCUGGCGGCAGGCUUAACACAUGCAAGUCGAGCGGGCACUUUCGGGUGUCAGCGGCGGACGGGUGAGUAACGCGUGGGAACGUGCCCUCUGGUUCGGAAUAACUCAGGGAAACUUGAGCUAAUACCGGAUACGCCCUUUUGGGGAAAGGCUUGCUGCCGGAGGAUCGGCCCGCGUCUGAUUAGCUAGUUGGUGAGGUAACGGCUCACCAAGGCGACGAUCAGUAGCUGGUCUGAGGAUGAUCAGCCACACUGGGACUGAGACACGGCCCAGACUCCUACGGGAGGCAGCAGUGGGGAAUAUUGGACAAUGGGCGCAAGCCUGAUCCAGCCAUGCCGCGUGAGUGAUGAAGGCCUUAGGGUUGUAAAGCUCUUUUAUCCGGGACGAUAAUGACGGUACCGGAGGAAUAAGCCCCGGCUAACUUCGUG